AGUCGAACGGGAUCUUCGGAUCUAGUGGCGGACGGGUGAGUAACGCGUGAGAAUCUGGCUUCAGGUUCGGGAUAACAGUUGGAAACGACUGCUAAUACCGGAUAAGCCUUGUGGUGAAAGAUAAAUUGCCUGAAGAUGAGCUCGCGUCCGAUUAGCUAGUUGGUGUGGUAAAGGCGCACCAAGGCGGCGAUCGGUAGCUKGUCUGAGAGGACGACCAGCCMCCACUGGGACUGAGACACGGCCCAGAYUCCUACGGGAGGGCAGCAGUGGGGAAUUUUCCGCAAUGGGCGAAAGCCUGACGGAGCAAUACCGCGUGAGGGAGGAAGGCUCUUGGGUUGUAAACCUCUUUUUCUCAGGGAAUAAGUACUGAAGGUACCUGAGGAAUCAGCAUCGGCUAACUCCGUGCCAGCAGCCGCGGUAAUACGGAGGAUGCAAGCGUUAUCCGGAAUGAUUGGGCGUAAAGCGUUCGUAGGUGGCUCAUCAAGUCGGCGGUCAAAGAGUCUGGCUUAACCAGAUAAAGGCAGUGGAAACUGAAGAGCUAGAGAAUGGUAGGGGUAGAGGGAAUUCCUGGUGUAGCGGUGAAAUGCGUAGAGAUCAGGAAGAACACCGGUGGCGAAAGCGCUCUGCUGGACCAUAACUGACACUGAGGGACGAAAGCUAGGGGAGCGAAUGGGAUUAGAUACCCCAGUAGUCCUAGCCGUAAACGAUGGAUACUAGGCGUUGCCCGUAUCGACCCGGGCAGUGUCGUAGCCAACGCGUUAAGUAUCCCGCCUGGGGAGUACGCACGCAAGUGUGAAACUCAAASGAAUUGACGGGGGACCCGCACAAGCGGUGGGAGUAUGUGGUUURA
This 850-nucleotide ribosomal RNA is filed under the name Brasilonema sp. VBCCA 052 003. RNAcentral describes it as "bacterial SSU rRNA". It matches the Rfam family "Bacterial small subunit ribosomal RNA", at positions 60 to 949 of the family's 1533-position model. Lineage: Bacteria; Bacillati; Cyanobacteriota; Cyanophyceae; Nostocales; Scytonemataceae. The record is from RNAcentral.